CGUAUCUGAUGCGACGACAGAGAGAGAGAGCGAAAAGAAACAUUAAGGAUCAAGAGGUAAAUGGCAGCAACCGUCGAGAUGCGUCGCCAUCCGUCACUCUUCUGUGCUUGGAUUUGGAUCACAAUCAAACGCACGAGACUUUCACAAAAAUCCAGUGCAUAAGUACGACCCGGUCACGACGAUCACACAUCACAACGUGUCUCAUCUCAUCUUCUUCGUCGCUGCUUUACUUACCUCCGAUAAGAAUGUUUGUGCUGCUUUCGAUGCUCCUACGUGUAAUAAAUAUUCAUAUACAUAAAGUGCAAUUCUGUGAGAGGGGAGAAAGAAAACGGAAAAGAAUUAGUCAAACAUCGAACGGUUGGAGAGAAAUCGGCCGCUUAACUGUCGGUAAAGUAAGAUUUUCACGCAUUUCGCGUCAAGUCUCUGGAUGAGGAAGGAAGAGGUGCAGCACCACCGCCACCACCACACCUUCUCGAUCGGACAUUAUCGAUGGACGCGCUUUGGUGCCUGCCUGCCUGCGGAGCAUCACCAUCCAGACACAAUCAUCGUACUUCAGGGGAAGGUGGGAUGAUCAUCAAUCCCUUUUCCAGCUCAAAAAAUCCCAAUUAAAGGAGAAACACCCAUCACACGUUGGCAGAGAAGGAGCCGCAUCAACCCGCAUCCGGAGCAACAGAGUACACUAACCAUGGAACGAUGGCUUCCUUCGCCGGAACGAUUUACUGUCAUCGUCUUCUUUGGACAGCACAUCUCGAAGGACAAUCGCUAAGACAAGCGCUCGUGUACAGGAACAAAAAACACUCUUUUGAAAUGAGCGUGAUGAUCGA
Anopheles gambiae (African malaria mosquito) is the source of this 824-nucleotide long non-coding RNA. RefSeq lists it as uncharacterized. The transcript is spliced from 2 exons. Lineage: Eukaryota; Metazoa; Arthropoda; Insecta; Diptera; Culicidae. The record is from RefSeq and is a predicted model, not a curated record.